This 434-nucleotide ribosomal RNA is filed under the name uncultured bacterium. Its description in RNAcentral is "bacterial SSU rRNA". It matches the Rfam family "Bacterial small subunit ribosomal RNA", at positions 29 to 507 of the family's 1533-position model. The record is from RNAcentral.
AGCGAACGCUGGCGGCAGGCUUAACACAUGCAAGUCGAACGGGCGUAGCAAUACGUCAGUGGCAGACGGGUGAGUAACGCGUGGGAACGUACCUUUGGUUCGGAACAACACAGGGAAACUUGUGCUAAUACCGGAUAAGCCCUUACGGGGAAAGAUUUAUCGCCGAAAGAUCGGCCCGCGUCUGAUUAGCUAGUUGGUGAGGUAACGGCUCACCAAGGCGACGAUCAGUAGCUGGUCUGAGAGGAUGAUCAGCCACAUUGGGACUGAGACACGGCCCAAACUCCUACGGGAGGCAGCAGUGGGGAAUAUUGGACAAUGGGCGCAAGCCUGAUCCAGCCAUGCCGCGUGAGUGAUGAAGGCCCUAGGGUUGUAAAGCUCUUUUGUGCGGGAAGAUAAUGACGGUACCGCAAGAAUAAGCCCCGGCUAACUCCGUG